This 740-nucleotide ribosomal RNA is filed under the name uncultured soil bacterium. RNAcentral describes it as "bacterial SSU rRNA". It matches the Rfam family "Bacterial small subunit ribosomal RNA", at positions 28 to 761 of the family's 1533-position model. The record is from RNAcentral.
AUUGAACGCUGGCGGCAGGCCUAACACAUGCAAGUCGAGCGGCAGCACGGGUACUUGUACCUGGUGGCGAGCGGCGGACGGGUGAGUAAUGCCUAGGAAUCUGCCUGGUAGUGGGGGAUAACGCUCGGAAACGGACGCUAAUACCGCAUACGUCCUACGGGAGAAAGCAGGGGACCUUCGGGCCUUGCGCUAUCAGAUGAGCCUAGGUCGGAUUAGCUAGUUGGUGAGGUAAUGGCUCACCAAGGCGACGAUCCGUAACUGGUCUGAGAGGAUGAUCAGUCACACUGGAACUGAGACACGGUCCAGACUCCUACGGGAGGCAGCAGUGGGGAAUAUUGGACAAUGGGCGAAAGCCUGAUCCAGCCAUGCCGCGUGUGUGAAGAAGGUCUUCGGAUUGUAAAGCACUUUAAGUUGGGAGGAAGGGCAUUUACCUAAUACGUAAGUGUUUUGACGUUACCGACAGAAUAAGCACCGGCUAACUCUGUGCCAGCAGCCGCGGUAAUACAGAGGGUGCAAGCGUUAAUCGGAAUUACUGGGCGUAAAGCGCGCGUAGGUGGUUCGUUAAGUUGGAUGUGAAAUCCCCGGGCUCAACCUGGGAACUGCAUUCAAAACUGUCGAGCUAGAGUAUGGUAGAGGGUGGUGGAAUUUCCUGUGUAGCGGUGAAAUGCGUAGAUAUAGGAAGGAACACCAGUGGCGAAGGCGACCACCUGGACUGAUACUGACACUGAGGUGCGAAAGCG